UUUCGAAUACGUAGAUUUUAAAGCUGCAUCGAUUCUCUCCAUAUUCUGUGUUAGAUUAGGAGUAUUAUUUUAGUACUCUUAGUGUGAUAAGUUCGUGUUUAGAAGAUUUCAAUUUGUAGAAUGGAAUAAUAAUUACCUUAUUAAGAUGAGGAGAUAGUUGAGAGUGUAGAAAACAGAUCGUAACAGAAGACAAUUGUCUCUGGAUCUUAUCUAGUCAUCUAUGAUGAAUAUCACAAAUAAUGUUGAGCCAAACGUACGGAAGACAAUUUAAUCACAUUUCUGUUGAAGGCAACUGUGGUGCAGACAAAAUCUUGUUGCCCUAUGGACCCCUUAGAAUGUGUACAACAAGCUCCCAGAUCUAGAAAUGUCUGUGAAGUUCAUUAUAUAUAAAUGAUUGGCUGUAUGAACAUUACAAAUUAAUAAUAAAAACGACAAAAAUGGAGAAUCGAAGACAAUAGUAAUUAGGUCAUAUGCAAAAAUAUAUAAAGAAAAUAUUAUCAUGGUCAUAUUCAAGGCGACAUUGAAAAAACAACAUUUUUUUUCGUGCUAUAAAAAGGUUGGAAACUGACCACAUGGUUGCCUGCGUUGCGGUCCUGGCUUCAUACCCUGCCCGCUGUCUUCCCCUCUAGUUUAACACGGAAGUAACAUCACAAACAUGUCAAACAUUUUAGAAACAUUUUAAAAGUGUAAAGUGAGACAAACAAUGAGAUUGUCUUAUAAAUCACGAACAUAUUUUUCACAUUUUUACAAAAGAAUAUUUCUGCUUCCAAUGACAUGUUGUUAACUGCUGCACGACUUGAAACAGACUCAGGAGUUACCCAAUAAAGUUCGCACAGAAUCACUUGUUCCUUGGACACUUCUUUUUCCAGGAUAUAGGAUUAAUUACAUCCUAUUUUGAUUUUACGGUCUAAAUAUUUAAUGGAAUAUCCAAUUGAACUUGUUACAAGUGUAUGAUAAUGGAAACAUUUUAUAUCAAGCUGAAACAUAACAUUUUUUGACCAGUGGCAUUAACUCUCACCAGUUUAAAAAAAACGAUCUCAUUAAGUGUCAUUUUAAGUCGACAGUCUUCUUAAAAUAACACGCCUUCUAUAACAUAUGCAUCAUCCGCAAGUGUGUGUAAAGCUGUGCCAGUGACUUGAUCAAGAUGCAUCCUUAUUCCGUCAUCAUUUUUUCUGACUAUUGCUUGUGUACCGGGUAGUAACAGCUACUUGUAAAUUAUUUUUACAGAUUCCCGUAUAAACAAAAUUAAGCAUCCUGUAAUUAUGACCUUCAAUUAAUUUCACAUUUAUAAAAGUUUUCUCAUUUCAAACGUAACAGUUUAUUUUACAGAUAUCGUGACGCUUUUAGAUAUCUGUAAACCAUGGUUCUGAAGGCUGGCAAACAAAGCAAGCUUCAACUUUCACUUCCUGAUUUAAUAUGUCAGCCUGCUUGAAGCAAAAGAACUCUUGUCAAAUUUAGAUGUUAAAGAAGGCCAGUAUAUGGUCAAUCAACAAAGGACUGACUUUUUUAGCAUGUCCGCGGUGCAAACUGCAAACUUACUUGAUGAAUCGUGCACUCUCGCGAGUGUACGAUCCAUAGCCGACACCCGAUUGUUGGCACUUUGGUACGGUAGUUGGGAUGCUUUCGAUAAAGGCCGUGAGCUUCAUUGGCAGUUAAGUAGAUCAGUCCGAACUUUUAUAGUUACCAGCCACCUGGAAGACAAGCACACGAUAGGGCAUCAUGGCUCUCGCAAUUAAAACUGCCGCACAAAGUGCAGAGGACAAGAGAACAGCGCGGGCAAAAGAAAAGCGUCAGAGAAAAAAAAGCAAGGCCAAUGACAUCUGGAAGAACCUGUCCAGCGUGAAGCCAAACAUUCCAGGCUCACAAAGGUCUCACCAGCUUCAUGGGGAGUCUCAAAACCCCUGUGCAAAGCCCUUAGUCCCCUGGACGACACAAGUGGUCAUCAUUGAACCACGAUGGACGAACUAUAAAAAAGAUUUUAGAAAAUGCCAGUAUUUACCAGGAUUCAAACUUGUCAAACUUCCAUCGAAAACCGACUUUCUUAGCACUACAUCACGAACAUACAUUAUAAAUUAUACGCAACUGUGGGAAUUCUUAUAUAACUUUCUCAACAAAAAAGCUCAAAUGUGUCGUCACCCAGAAGUACAUAGAAGCCUACUUUAUAAAGCGCACAUGUGUGUAUGCAUAUAUGAGUGUGUGUGUGUGUGAUUUAUUUUACCAAUGCUAUUGUUCGUUUUCGUAUCUAUGUUGCUAUUGUUAUUGUUGUAUUGAUGAGGUAAAGGACUGUAGUCAAACUGAAGGUCUAUUUGUUUGGACCAAUUAAAGUAUCCUAUCUAUCCCCUUA
Molecule: long non-coding RNA, 2344 nt
Organism: Biomphalaria glabrata
Lineage: Eukaryota; Metazoa; Mollusca; Gastropoda; Planorbidae
Exons: 2
Source: RefSeq, a predicted model, not a curated record